AAAAAACAUGGACAGUCGUUCUACCGAGCUAUCACCCGCUCGGUGUAAGAUCUUCCUUUUAUCGU
Molecule: microRNA precursor, 65 nt
Filed under: Bombyx mori (domestic silkworm)
Lineage: Eukaryota; Metazoa; Arthropoda; Insecta; Lepidoptera; Bombycidae
Description: mir-2774 microRNA precursor family
Rfam family: mir-2774 microRNA precursor family
Source: Rfam by way of RNAcentral